UGAGCUUGAUCCUGGCUCAGGAUGAACGCUAGCGGCAGGCUUAACACAUGCAAGUCGAGGGGUAUUAGUUUUCGGACUAAGAGACCGGCGCACGGGUGCGUAACGCGUAUGCAAUCUGCCUUUCACAGAGGGAUAGCCCAGAGAAAUUUGGAUUAAUACCUCAUAGUAUAAUGAGUUGGCAUCAACACAUUAUUAAAGUCACAACGGUGAAAGAUGAGCAUGCGUCCCAUUAGCUAGUUGGUAAGGUAACGGCUUACCAAGGCAACGAUGGGUAGGGGUCCUGAGAGGGAGAUCCCCCACACUGGUACUGAGACACGGACCAGACUCCUACGGGAGGCAGCAGUGAGGAAUAUUGGACAAUGGGCGCAAGCCUGAUCCAGCCAUGCCGCGUGCAGGAUGACGGUCCUAUGGAUUGUAAACUGCUUUUGUACGAGAAGAAACACUCCUAUGUAUAGGAGCUGACGG
RNAcentral lists this ribosomal RNA (465 nucleotides) under Flavobacterium sp. 01WB02.3-60. RNAcentral's name for it is "bacterial SSU rRNA". It matches the Rfam family "Bacterial small subunit ribosomal RNA", at positions 1 to 475 of the family's 1533-position model. Lineage: Bacteria; Pseudomonadati; Bacteroidota; Flavobacteriia; Flavobacteriales; Flavobacteriaceae. The record is from RNAcentral.